Molecule: ribosomal RNA, 248 nt
Filed under: uncultured bacterium
Lineage: Bacteria
Description: partial 16S ribosomal RNA
Rfam family: Bacterial small subunit ribosomal RNA
Source: RNAcentral
UGAGUAACGCGUGGGUAACCUGCCCUGUACAGGGGGAUAACAGCUGGAAACGGCUGCUAAUACCGCAUAAGCGCACGAGGAGACAUCUCCUUGUGUGAAAAACUCCGGUGGUACAGGAUGGGCCCGCGUCUGAUUAGCUGGUUGGCAGGGUAACGGCCUACCAAGGCAACGAUCAGUAGCCGGUCUGAGAGGAUGAACGGCCACAUUGGAACUGAGACACGGCCCAGACUCCUACGGGAGGCAGCAUG